RNAcentral lists this ribosomal RNA (815 nucleotides) under uncultured bacterium. RNAcentral describes it as "bacterial SSU rRNA". It matches the Rfam family "Bacterial small subunit ribosomal RNA", at positions 8 to 796 of the family's 1533-position model. The record is from RNAcentral.
AGAGUUUGAUCAUGGCUCAGAACGAACGCUGGCGGCGUGGAUAAGACAUGCAAGUCGAACGCUAAUCACAUUGCAGCAAUGUAGUGUGGUUGGAGUGGCGCAAGGGUGCGUAACACGUGGGUAAUUUGCCGUGAAGACUGGGAUAACUUGCUGAAAGGCGAGCUAAUACCGGAUGUGGUCACUGGGAGGCAUCUUUUGGUGACUGAAGUUGGGGACCGUAAGGCCUGACACUUCACGAUAAGCCCGCGGCCUAUCAGCUAGUUGGUGAGGUAACGGCUCACCAAGGCAAAGACGGGUAGCUGGUCUGAGAGGACGACCAGCCACACUGGAACUGAGACACGGUCCAGACACCUACGGGUGGCAGCAGUCGAGAAUUUUUCUCAAUGGGCGAAAGCCUGAAGGAGCGACGCCGCGUGGGGGAUGAAUGGCUUCGGCCCGUAAACCCCUGUCAUUUGCGAACAAUGCGCAUUAUUUAAAAGAUGAUGCGUUGAUAGUAGCGAAAGAGGAAGGGACGGCUAACUCUGUGCCAGCAGCCGCGGUAAUACAGAGGUCCCGAGCGUUGUUCGGAUUCACUGGGCGUAAAGGGUGCGUAGGUGGUGAGGUAAGUCGGAUGUGAAAUCUCCAAGCUCAACUUGGAAAUGGCAUUGGAAACUACCUCGCUGGAGGUUUGGAGGGGGGACUGGAAUUCUCGGUGUAGCAGUGAAAUGCGUAGAUAUCGAGAGGAACACCAGUGGCGAAGGCGAGUCCCUGGACAACACCUGACACUGAGGCACGAAAGCUAGGGGAGCAAACAGGAUUAGAUACCCUAGUAGUCC